This 253-nucleotide ribosomal RNA is filed under the name uncultured bacterium. Its description in RNAcentral is "partial 16S ribosomal RNA". It matches the Rfam family "Bacterial small subunit ribosomal RNA", at positions 524 to 776 of the family's 1533-position model. The record is from RNAcentral.
UACGUAGGGUGCAAGCGUUGUCCGGAAUUAUUGGGCGUAAAGAGCUCGUAGGCGGCUUGUCACGUCGGGUGUGAAAGCCCGGGGCUUAACCCCGGGUCUGCAUUCGAUACGGGCUAGCUAGAAUGUGGUAGGGGAGAUCGGAAUUCCUGGUGUAGCGGUGAAAUGCGCAGAUAUCAGGAGGAACACCGGUGGCGAAGGCGGAUCUCUGGGCCAUUACUGACGCUGAGGAGCGAAAGCGUGGGGAGCGAACAGG